Molecule: ribosomal RNA, 400 nt
Filed under: uncultured bacterium
Lineage: Bacteria
Description: bacterial SSU rRNA
Rfam family: Bacterial small subunit ribosomal RNA
Source: RNAcentral
AACGAACGCUGGCGGCAUGCCUAACACAUGCAAGUCGAACGAGACCUUCGGGUCUAGUGGCGCACGGGUGCGUAACGCGUGGGAACCUGCCUUUAGGUUCGGAAUAACUCAGAGAAAUUUGAGCCUAAUACCGGAUAAUGUCUUCGGACCAAAGAUUUAUCGCCUUUAGAUGGGCCCGCGUUGGAUUAGCUAGUUGGUGGGUAAAGCCUACCAAGGCGACGAUCCAUAGCUGGUCUGAGAGGAUGAUCAGCCACACUGGGACUGAGACACGGCCCAGACUCCUACGGAGGCAGCAGUGGGAUAUGGACAAUGGGCGAAAGCCUGAUCCAGCAAUGCCGCGUGAGUGAUGAAGGCCUUAGGGUUGUAAAGCUCUUUUACCCGAGAUGAUAAUGACAGUAUC